AGGAUGAACGCUGGCGGCGUGCUUAACACAUGCAAGUCGAACGGGAAACUUUUCAUUGAAGCUUCGGCAGAUUUGGUCUGUUUCUAGUGGCGGACGGGUGAGUAACGCGUGGGUAACCUGCCUUAUACAGGGGGAUAACAACCAGAAAUGGUUGCUAAUACCGCAUAAGCGCACAGGACCGCAUGGUCUAGUGUGAAAAACUCCGGUGGUAUAAGAUGGACCCGCGUUGGAUUAGCUAGUUGGCAGGGUAACGGCCUACCAAGGCGACGAUCCAUAGCCGGCCUGAGAGGGUGAACGGCCACAUUGGGACUGAGACACGGCCCAGACUCCUACGGGAGGCAGCAGUGGGGAAUAUUGCACAAUGGGGGAAACCCUGAUGCAGCGACGCCGCGUGAAGGAAGAAGUAUCUCGGUAUGUAAACUUCUAUCAGCAGGGAAGAUAGUGACGGUACCUGACUAAGAAGCCCCGGCUAACUACGUGCCAGCAGCCGCGGUAAUACGUAGGGGGCAAGCGUUAUCCG
RNAcentral lists this ribosomal RNA (520 nucleotides) under Blautia obeum ATCC 29174. Its description in RNAcentral is "SSU rRNA". It matches the Rfam family "Bacterial small subunit ribosomal RNA", at positions 26 to 547 of the family's 1533-position model. Lineage: Bacteria; Bacillati; Bacillota; Clostridia; Lachnospirales; Lachnospiraceae. The record is from RNAcentral.